AAGGUCUUGGCUGUAGCCACGG
RNAcentral lists this microRNA (22 nucleotides) under Heligmosomoides polygyrus. Its description in RNAcentral is "hpo-miR-10117-5p". Lineage: Eukaryota; Metazoa; Nematoda; Chromadorea; Rhabditida; Heligmosomidae. The record is from miRBase by way of RNAcentral.